AGAGAGUCUGUACCUGCAACCCUGGCGGCGUCCGAGCCCAAGGCGGAGUCUGGGAGACAAAGAAGUCCUCGCCGCCGGCCGCUGGAGGAUUCUGCCAGUAGUGAAAGAUGGGGUCUCGUUAUGUUGACCAGGCUGGUCUUGAACACCUGACCUGAAGUGAUCCUCUUGCCUCAGCCUCCCAUAGUGCUGCGAUCACAGGUGUGCAUGCCUUCCUUAUUUCUCAUACUCAUCACCUCCUCUUCCCGCUUGGAACUGCCCACACUGGUGAUUUCCUUGUUAAGGAACUUGAUGGCGUUGUGCAUGCUCGCUGACAGGGGACGGCACUGAGUCAGGAAGCUAUAAUACAACAGCAAUACCUUAUAUCUGCGCAACUCUUCACAACUUACAAAGCCUUCACAU
Molecule: long non-coding RNA, 399 nt
Organism: Homo sapiens (human)
Lineage: Eukaryota; Metazoa; Chordata; Mammalia; Primates; Hominidae
Gene: GTF3C2-AS2
Product: GTF3C2 antisense RNA 2
Source: Ensembl